UGAAACGUAGCAUGCAAUACAGGACGUCACGGCCUGAGCUGCCUCCGGCAAGGUGCCAUAGGCAAGGUGGACUGUGAUAGUCUUUAGAAUAGGAGCAAAGCAGGUCACUUGAAUGCUGCGUGGUUCCUGAGAAAGGUGUUGUAGAGAAGAAAAGUUGUCUGGCAUGGCAGUUCCUGAUGGCAGCCUGUUUCUGCAGGUGAAGAGGUGUCUGAAGCCCCAUCCCAUGUAGCCUGAGCACGCCUCGCUGAGGAUGAAGCCUGCUUUUCAGCAGUUCCCAAAGGCAUGUUGGGCCUGAAAUGCCCAGGUCAUAGGCAUGGACUAAGCUGAAAAGUUGAACGAGGCAUGAGGGCGAGUGGAUGGCAGUGUGGGCCCUGAGUUGGUUGUUGGAUUCUGCUGGUCUGUUUUGCCUGUUGCGCAGGCUUGGCAAGCACUUGCGACAGCAGAAUACAUCUCCUGCCACAUUCCUGAGGCACGCCAGACGUCAGCGGGUCCAGUUCCUGAAAUGCUGGAGAUCCUCGGAGUGCAGGAGGAGCAGAGUGUGAUAUAUCUCUUUGGGACAUUAGUCUAAGCCAUGUGACCUUGGCUCGGCACAGCAAAUGGAAGUGCUAAGCCUGGAUCGGGAAGGUGAAGAGGAGCCUCAUGACUGAAGCAAUGUCCUGGCUAGCCUUUGUGUUUCUUUUUGAGGAUGGAACAUGCCUCCCAGCAUUCCCAAGCUAAGUUGGGGGGCAAGUGCUAUGUCUGGAUUGGGGUUGUGAAUGGACACAUAGGGCGAGGGUCUGUGCUUCUAAGUCAUUGCGGCAGAUAGGGCCUUUCAGGAUUGAUCAUGGUCAGACAGAGAGAGGGUAUGUGUGGGGGGUCCUGUCAGGUACGGCUUGAGCAUGCGCCAGGCAGGGCAGUUCCAGCUUGGUGUCUGUGUGCUG
Cygnus atratus (black swan) is the source of this 920-nucleotide long non-coding RNA. RefSeq lists it as uncharacterized. The record is from RefSeq and is a predicted model, not a curated record. The transcript has 5 exons. Lineage: Eukaryota; Metazoa; Chordata; Aves; Anseriformes; Anatidae.